GUCACUCUGAUUUGCUAAAGAAAGAAGAGAACUGAGAAAAUGAUUCUUGUUAAAAUUCAUGAAGAAUUCCUAUGCUUUCUAAUUAAUAACUGCACAGGUCCUUCUGGGACAGACUUCAUAAUAUUCCAGGCAUCAAAGUGCAUGAGCCCAACCAGAGGUUUCCCAUUAAUAGCAAGAAUUUCAUCUCCAGCUUCUAUUAUUCCAGCUUGUUCAGCCGCACCACCUACGAGAAUAAACACAGAAUAAUUAAUAGCUUGGCAGUUUCAUAGUAUUCAAAAAUCCUAAGUAAACUAAAAACUUUUAAGUGAUAAAAAUAUCUAAAUAAUAUAUUAUUGAAUAGAGAAAUAUUUCUUAGAACACAAAAAGCAUAUAUCCAUAAAAGUAAACUGGUCUACAGAAAACAGUGCAACUCUAGCCCUCCUGCCGCCCCUCCAAACAUAAUCUGUAAGAUAAAAAUAAACUGACAAGGGGAAGAUACUCUCUAUGUAUUUAAUCAACAAAUGGUUAACAUCCAGACUAAAGAGCUACAAGUCAACAAGAAUAACACAAAAUAAAGUUGGGGUAAGGAAAUCAACAGCUGAACUCCAAACAGCCAGUAAACACAGAAAAGCAGGUUCAACUUUUUUUGUUGUUGUUGAGACGGCCUCACACUGUCACCCAGGCUGGAGUGCAGUGGUACAGUUUUGGCUCGCUGCAGCCUCCGCCUCACUGGGCUCAAGCGAUCCUCUCACCUCAGCCUUCAGAGUAGCUGCUACCACAGGCAUACACCACCAUGCACAGCUUUUUUUUUUAUAUUUUUGGUAGAGAUGGGGUCUUGCCAUGUUGCCCAGGCUGUCAGCUUCUAAUUGUUAACAGAUUCUGGCUGAUAUAUGCAAGUUCUGAGAAUCAGUGAUUAUGUGCUCAUUAGUGACCAUGGGGACUACUUACUUACAGAGUUUAGCAUGUUCACAUUAUAGCUUUGUCUAGCUUUGUAUGAGCUUUGAAAAAAAUGCAAGUGUAAACCCUCCAUUUACGUUCUCACACAUAUACUUCUAAAGGUACACCAGCUAUGGAGGCAUCUUAUGGAAAAAAAAUGGCAUUGAAAGAAAAAGUCCCAAGUGUGAAAAAAAUUUUCUCAGAAAUUUUGAUUAGACCUCAAAAGACUGAGCAGAUGUAUCGAUUUCAUCCUAAAUUACUGAAAGUCGUUAUUGAAAUUAUUGAAAUAAAUAUUAUGUGAUAAAAAUACAGCUUGGAAGAAAUCCAGCCCACACAAGGACAAAAACAUUUUCUGUGGUAAAUGAUAGAGGCAGUUAGUUACAUUAGAAGAGAGACCUCACCAAUAUCAGCCCUGUAGUGGGCCCCAGGAAAAUGAUUUGGUCCCUAGUCCUUGCUUUUCUUGAGAUAGAUACAUUUUUGGAAGGACCAAAGAACCAAUUAUAUUUGUGUUAACUUAGUACCCAAUGUCCUAUUCUAGCAUAUUAACCGAAGGCCUUCAGGUUAUGUGAAACAAAAGAAUUUUGUGAGUGUUCACCUGGGCUUCAGGACAUGGGAGGUUCCAGGCAACCAGAACAGCCUGACGCACACUGAAGGAGCAAUCAGACUGGGUUUGGUCUCAAAUCUGUGACUUCAGGCAAGUUACAGAUUUCUCCAAACUCCAGUUUUCUCAUCUGCAAAAUGGUGAUGAUGAUAUCUGUCUUGUUAUCUUACUAGGUUGUUAGAAGGACUGAAUGAGAUGAAGUAGAGGAAAGUCUUCUAGGACAGGGGUCCUCAACCCUUGGGCCACAGACUGGUGGCAGGAGGGCUGCACAGCAGGUGAGCAGUGGGUGAGUGAGCAAAGCUUCCUCUGUUCACAGCCUCUCACCGUCACUCACACUACCACCUGAGCUCUGCCUCCUGUCAGAUCAGCAGCAGCAUUAGAUUCUCACAUGGGAUGCCUGGUUGCAAGAAAACAAGCUCAGGGCUCCCACAGAUUCUACGUGAUGCAGUUUUCACAGAUUUGUGGCCAGAUGCUAGAGACAAAGGCUGAGAAGUUGUCCAGGACGUCAUAUUCUUGCUUUGCUGGAGGCAGAUCUGAAGGAUGUCAUCUCUCCUGUGGCUUCUUCUAGUGUGGGGUCCCGAAGCCUGGCUUCCCCAGCCGAUGUGCUGCUUUAGUCAGCGUCUGCCCUGGUCCUUCGGUUCGCAGGCUCACACGCUUUUUUGGGUUGUGUCCCUUUGGACUGCAGAGGCUACGUGUCCUGUGACCAACCACGAAGGCGGCCACUCCCGCUCCCCUCAGGAGUGUCUUAAAAUACCUCCAUUUUAGCUACCCUAUUGAAUGACAGGUUAGCUGGGUGCUGGGUUUUCAGGUGAUGGACAUUUUCCCUCAGUCCUCUGAAGGUGUUGCUGGCUUCAGGCAUUGAUGCCGCCACUCUGAUUGUUGUAUGCAGUGAGCAAACUAGAAUUUUCUCUUGGCUUUCUAGAUUUUCUUCUUUAUAUUCUGAAACUUUAUUAUAUCAAGGUUUGAAUUUUAUUUUUUUUGGAGACAGGGUCCUACUCUGUCAUCCAGGCUGGAGUGCAAUGGUGCAGUCCUGCUCACUGCAGCCUCCAAGUCCAGGGCUGAAGCGAUCCUUCUGCCUCAGCCUCCUAAGUAGCUGGGAUCACAGGUGUGCACCACUCUGCCUAACAAGGCUUGUUUUUUGUUUGUUUGUUUGUUUUAAAUAAAUACAUUCAGAUUGUUUUGCCCCUUGAUGAGUUUUUCAGUCUGCAUAGUCCUGUCAUUUUUUCACUUCUGGAAAAUUCUUAGUCAUGAUUUCUGCAAAUAUUUCCUCUCAUUCUGUUUUUUCCUUCUGGAACUCUUUCAUUACCUUUUUGUAGUCAUCUCUUUAUUUCCCUAUACUGCAUUUUUUAAUGGUUUCUUCUGUUCUGUUUUUACAAAUUCUAUCUAUCUUCACAUGGAUUUAGUCUAUUUUUUACUUUUACUCAUUAAUUUAAAAAUACAUUUAACUCCAUUUUCACUAAUGAGGGUGUAUGUGCAUUUAGUUUUUACUUUUAAAGAAGCAGGGUCUUGCUCUGCUGUUGAGGCUGGUAUUGAACUCCUGGGGCUCAAGCAGUGCAAGGAGCUGAGACUACAGGCAUGCGCUACCACACCCAGCUUGCAUUUUGUUUUUUUUACAUAUUUGCUUGCUCCUUCUGAAUACCCUCUUCGGUCCUGUUUCAUGGGUAACAUUCCUGCCUCUGUCAUGAAUGGGGUGUCCUGUUUUUCGGGUCUGCUGGCAAUGGAUGUUGCCCUGUACCCUUCGUCUGAGAGCUUUCUGUUGUGAGGGCUCUUAUAGUCGAGUUGCCACAUGCUUGCCUGAGCCUAGUUCUCCUCCUUCUGCUGCUCUGUCAACUUGAACAGUUAACUUGAUGAGUCUGAGGUUUUCUCUUCACCCUGGUACCAUAGGUUCACACAUAACAGAGACCUGACUCCUGAUUUAUGCCUGUCUUCUGCUUGCUCCGGGCGUUGGGAGCAGGCAGCCUAUCCUGGCUGCCACUCGAGUAACGCAGACCUGUUGUGACCACAGUUUACUGGCAAAAGAGCAGGUCCCAGGCCUCUGCAUCACGAGAUGCUUCGCUCUGGCUGCCCACAGGGGUGCUGAGCCCCUGCUCCUGGGUGGGCACUGAGUCUGCAGCGCCCCUGCUCCUGGGUGGGCCCCAGCCUGCAGUGCACAUUUCUCUGUCAUCCUCCGCUUCCUCUGGGCCCCAAGGAUGCAGCGCUGCUUACCACAGAGGCUUCAUUUCCACUUUUGAUCCAUAGAGGGGUUUUUUUUUAAGUGUAACUAUACAUUUUUAAAAGUAUUUUUUCCUAUUAACACUAUAGGUCAAGAGUGGAGAGAGGUUUUGGGAUUACUAUGCAAUUGUAGAAAUAUCUCAAGGUCAUUAACUAGAUGGUCAUUUAAAGAAACAACAAUCCUUAGCUAAGAAGAAUUGACCUUGUUAUUUGCUGACCUACUUACUCUGUUACAUACUGUAACUUUAAAUGGGUUUCUGAUCUAUUUGCAAGUAUAAUUACAUAUCAAUAUUGUUCAUACAAUUAUACUGUUAAUAUUAUUAGUACAAUUAUGAGUUAAUAUAAGAUUUUGAAAAACCGCCCAAGACCAAAAAAUGAAUUAUGCAAGUUGAUAAAGAGAUGGAUAUUUACCAAGCAUUUCAAUAAUAUCUAUCCCCCAUCUUUUUUUUCCCACAAAGGCUAUGCUUGGACUGUAUUCCUUUCUUGCAGUCUAGCAUUUACAAGUGUAGUAUUUUAAGUCAAUGAGAUCUUGGCCAGUAUUAAGUACUCCUGACUGGCAAGUCUAGUGAUGUUACUUAGUGUGGUGUGUUCACAUCAGAGAGAGGGGCCCGGAGUAAGGAACUGCUGCAGUACAGGGGUCAGGGACAGAUGCUCUGGGGCCAGACUGCCUGGGCUGGAGCCUGGUUCUGCCACUUACAGCUGUGUGACCCUACGUGCCUCAGUUUCUCCUUUUGUAAAAUAGGGAUAAUGAUGACACCCACCCAAUAGAGUUGCCACGUGGAUGGCAUGAGUUAAUACAUGUCCAUACAGAAUAAACCUUGUAUGUCACAAAGCAUUAAAAACAGUUUAGGUUUUUUGAUUUCUAAAUGGAAGGCAUUUUUUUCAUUGAGACAUCCAUGGAAAAAUGACAGGUGAGAGAAGGCUGACUGAGUUGUCUAGAACAUUACCUUUGUACACUCUUUUAAUGACCAAGGGCCCAUCUCCCGUCACCGAUGAUUUUCCCCCAUCCAGACUCAGUCCCAGCCCAGCCGAGGUCUUCAGCACUUCAACACACAGAGCAUCGUGUACAGCCACACUUCUCCCUGCAGCCGCAGCGUGCACCAAGAUGAAAAUGACAGGGUUGUUCAUCAUGCCACAUGUCCAAGUCCCCCAGGAUGCAUCGCCUCCAGCCCCAUGUACUUCUGGCACACUCAAGUCCCAUCUACCCUGGGGCACUUACUUACUUAUAACAGCACUUGAGCCCAGUAGCACUGUUGGCCUCCCAAUUCUGGGGCUGCCCUCCUGGCUGUGUUGCUGCUGUACUUGCAUCCUUUGUUCUGUGUUUUCUGCAAGCAUUGGCAAAUGCUUUUAUGCCCAAGCAGAAAUCCCCAGAAAGCAAAGUGCUCUUGUUAAGCCCCCCACACCGGCUGUGCACUUCUCAGUGAGGACUGAAGUCACACUUGGGGACUCCAAAUUUGAUUUUCUGCCAACCCUGGCUGCUAAUGGCAGCAGCAGAUCAUCCUCUGGUACCAAGACUUGGCAGCACCAAAAUGCCCAGUCUCAUGUGAGACUGUUAGAAUGGACUCCAAAGCCCCCAGGAACCCAGAGAGCUUCCUGCCUCCCCGCUCCUGCCACUCCUGCUCCUGCAAAGGGAAACCCUGCCCCUGGCUAUGGCUGUCUUCACAAACACACUCGCUGCCUCUACUGGCAUCUUGCUCCACUGUGAGGAAAUGUGUUUCCAUGGUGAUGCCGGCUCUGUGUGCUGGUUUCGGGAUAGUGGGCUGGUUUGAAUCAGGAUUGUAAACUUGCCUUGUACUUCCCUCCCUUGCCUGCCUACCAGCCAAGGACGUCAGAGUUGACUGCAAAGGCACACUUAGUUAAUUGGGAGGCAGAGGAAGGACCACGGAUGGAUUAAACUGCCUGCUUCCUCUGUUCACUGUUCACUAGGGCUGAAGCCAAGCUAGCAUUGUCUCCUUUGGACAUAAAGGCCAGUCCAUUGUCGUGGUUUAAAGAAGGCCACUCCACAGGGUCUGAAGGACAUUUACUAACACUGGGGGGAGCAUGAUUUUUCAACAGGAAAAUGGGUCUAUUGCAGUGGCUCGAGUCUGGCUGCAUACUGGAGUCACCUGGGAACGUGAAACGGUGUCUGGCCCCCACUGCGGCAUUUCUGAUUUAAUUAAGCUGGGAAUUUCCUGGGCAUCAGGAAUUUAAAAGCGUCCCAGCAUCUCUACUGUGCAGCUUACUGCACCGGGCCCCCAGCUGGACGCUGUCAGUGUAUGGUAAGGAAUAUAACUGCAUAGGACCGGGUAGACCUGGGUUAGGGAGACUGAAGAACAGGAAACUGAGCGAGGUUAAGCCCUCCAGGCGCUCAGCGUUUGAUUGAUUGCUCUGCAGGGUCUGCUUCAAGACCAGAGGCCCUGAAGUUGCUGCAGGAAUACUGAGUGAUUGAUUAUAAAUGACAGAAGGACCAUCCAGAUCUGAGUUCACGAGGCUUAAAAACUGGCAGCUGUGAGGAUGAAGUGGUUUCCUUUGACAGUUUACAAGGAUCCCACUGAAAGUCCACCAAGUGGUCGAGACAGUUUUGGGGCAAAGGCAAGCAUGACAAGAUCUGAUGACCAAGGUGUUUCCCUGUAUUGAGGAGGGCCUCAGCCCUCUGGAAGAGGGAAAGUGAAAUGACACAGAAGGAAGACUGGGGACCAUGGAGGCAUCUGGACAAGAAGUGUUUCUCAUUUGUUAAAUGGAAUCGGAGCCAUUUUCAGCAAGGACUACAAACAGCUCAGGCCACAAGGAAGCCAAGUUGUAGAAAGGAAUCCAGCUACCCUUAUCAGGGAGAGAUGUGGAGAAGGAACAAAAGGCCCCUCCCAGAAGGCACUGCCUAACCCAUACCCUCUGCUUUGCCCUCUCGAAUAAAAAAAGACGUCACCCCUGAAUGCCAAGAUGCACGGCACUCCAGACAUCUGCAGUACUUAACAGGGCAUUAAACAGCUCGCACUGCAGAAACAGACGCUGCACGUGGUUCUGAGGCUCUGAAUAUGGACGGAACGUAGAAAAUCUGUUUCUAAACCUCUUCCAGUGAGUUCUUCUUGGUUGACUAAGGCUGCAAUUUCUGUUUUCAGACACAAAAUACUCUUGCCCCCUCAUUUCCUUCUUUUCUUCUAAACCAGGAAAGAAUACAACCUUGCUGUUUCCCAAGGAUAAAUCUUAGUUCUGGAAUUUCUCCUUCAACACUGCUCGCCCCGUCACGUAGUUUCCUGUUUUCCUUACCAGUCCUAACAAGAGGCUGUGAAUGUAAGAGAUUCCUUCUUAGGACACUUAGGGAAACUGUUCUGCAGUCAUUUUAAAUCUUCCACAGUACAGCUUGAACUACUGGGGGGAUUUUUCUAAUUUUCUAAUUUUUUUCUAAUUUAUUUGUAACACUGCUUUUGUAAGCAGCAUCCAAACACACUAGACUUCGCUACAUUUAAUUUUUCAGAUCUAGAAGUUAGUUAGCUGUUAUUUUCCUUCAUGUUCAACCAGAAUCUCCUCUUUCUGCAGUAGCUCACAGCCUGCUGGUUGUUGAAAUGAUCAUCUUACCAAUGCCAGGCUCCAGGGGGAUGGUCUUUCUGGACAGCAAACCCUUCCCAUUGGCUGUGGGAGGCUCCUGCCGGGCAGAGGGCCUGGGCUGAUCCAUCCCUUUCUUGAUGACCACGAGGGCAUCUUUGUGCAGCUGUGCCUGGUGCAGAACCUUCAGGACAUUCCCGUGGGCUAAGCCAGCCAGUGAGGCGCCGUUGACUGACAGAAGGAAAUCCCCUCGGUUCAUAGUCCCUUCCUGAGAAGCCGCCCCCUGAGAAAACACCCUGUGGACCUGGGAUGAGGAAAGGAAAAGGGAACAAAAACCAGAUCCACUUACGAUUUCCGUGUCUGACAUGGGCCUGGCAUCCAGGAGGCAAUGGGAAUACGAAGAUGAAUGAGGCCUGGGCUCGUGCAGUGAAGGUGACCCUCUGGAUGGUCCUGAAGGCUUUUGAAUGAUGUAAAAUUUUGAGUGACUUUUUGAGACGGGAGUAAUUGUAUAAACACAAGUUUGGCCAGUUGAUUCUAAUGUUUUCUACUGCUUAAAAUAUGGAGGUAAAUUAUAAGGCUAUAGCGAAUUGUGUUUAUAGGGAUUGGAAAUGGCCUAUACAUGUCAGCUCUGUGUUAAAAAUGCUUGUCUUUUGUCAACGAAAACCUUACGUACUACUUCUCCCACUUCUCCCUUUUUAUGUUGGUAGCUGGGAAUGAAAUCCAGCAAUCUCUGAACCCGCUGAUUGGAAUUUGUGCCCUGAUCACAUUCUGAGGCUGCUUGAGGGGGGAUUUUCCUGAGAGCCUAAUGACUCUGUCACUUACCGUGAUUGAUUUUGGCUCCACAUCUGUCCCUCCUGCCACACUGAAUCCCAGACCUGAGCCUUCUUUUCUAUUCAAGACUAUGAAGCAAACAUCUUCUUCAUUCUAGUGAAAACAAACAAAAAUUAUCCUUUGAGCUACAGCUGCAAAAAAUUAAGAAAGAAAAACAUAUCCCCUUGGGCCAGGAGUAAGGAAGCUCUGAUGUCAGUCCUCUUGGAGGGGCUUUUCACCACAGGCCCUAAAGGUUCUUUGGCUCUCAGCCAGGCAUGGUGGCUCACGCCUGUAAUCCCAACACUCUGGGAAGCCAAGGGGGCGGAUCUCUUGAGCCCAAGAGUUCGAGUCCAGCCUGGGCAAUGUGGCAAAACCCUGUCUCUACAAAAAUCAGCCAGGUGUGGUGUUGCACACUUGUAGUCCCAGCUACUCAAGAGGCUGAGGUGGGAGGAUUACCUAAGCCCGGAAGGUCACGGCUGCAGUGAGCCAUGAUCACGCCACUGCACUUCAGCCUGGUUGACAGAGUGAGACCUUGUCUCAAAAAAAAAAAAAAAAAAAAAAAAUCAUAGUACAUAAUUUGAUCAUGAUGGGAAUCCUUUAUUCUGUAAUUCUUUAAGUCUACAAUUUAGCAAAGCCAGUCCUAGCAACAGCAGAAAGAUAAGCGUCAGUGGCAAGAGGCAGGAUAAGAGCAUAUCAAGGCCAUGUUUUCUACAUCUCCCUCCCCAUCAUUGGAUUUCAGGUACAAUUAAUUAACUGAUGCCAAAAAAAUAGCAUGGCUAGGCGCAGUGGCUCACGCCUGUAAUCCCAGUGCUUUGGGAGGCCAAGGCGGGCGGAUCACCUGAGGUCAGGAGUUCGAGACCAGCCUAGUCAACAUGGCGAAACCCCGUCUCUACUGAAAAAUACAAAAAUUAGCCGGGCGUGGUGGCGGACACCUGUAAUUCCAGCUACUUGGGAGGCUGAGGCAGGAGAAUCGCUUGAACCCAGCGGGCAGAGGUUGCAGUGAGUGGAGAUCAUGCCAGUUGCACUCCAGCCUGGGUGAUGGAGUGAGGCUCUGUCUCAAAAAACCCCCAAAGUUCACUCAAACCAAAACCUAGACUGUCCCGCAGAACUUUUGGGGGAGUUGGGAGGUUGACUUCAUGGGCACCUUCAACCAUAUGUAUGCUCACACACGGAUUGAUGGGGAGAAAGAGGUUGACUAAGCUUUCCAAACAAAAAUGGGAAUACGGGACCCAGUAAAUGGUCUUUGUCCAGCUUCUAGGAGGUAAUGUGGUGCUGAAAAUAGGAACACUUCUCAGAUAUUUCAAUGUCUUAUGGGAGCAAAGAGACAAUAUUUGAAAAUGAGGCCUCCUACGCCGGGUGCGGUGGCUCACGCCUGUAAUCCCAGCACUUUGGGAGGCGGAGGCAGGUGGUUCACAUGGUCAGGAGAUGGAGCCCAUCCUGGCUAACACGGUGAAACCCCGUCUCUACUAAAAAAAAAAAAAAAAAAAAGCCGGGCAUGGUGGCGGGCACCAGUAGUCCCAGCUACUCGGGAGGCUGAGGCAGGAGAAUGGCGUGAACCCAGGAGGUGGAGCUUGCAGUGAGCCGAGAUCACGCCACUGCACUCCAGCCUGGGCAACAGAGCGAGACUCCAUCUCAAGAAAAGAAAAAAAAAAAGGAGAAGGAAAAAAAAAAAGAAAAUGAGGCCCUCCUGCAUUCCAGGACAAGUUAAAUCACAAAAAUUUCAAUGUAUUCACAUUUUUUUCCAGUGGUGUUUAAGGACACAGAUAUGCUAGAAGCUGACUAUUGCGCCAAAUUUUGCCUCUGAGAGCCUCAGCACAGUCUCAGGGCGGCCAGAUCAACCAUCAAGAGCUCUCCAAGGUUUGGGUGUGUUGAAGUCAGGAGGCCAGGGUUUGUUUUCAGCCUCGAAGCCUCGAAUCUCUCACAGCACUGCCAAGGACACAGAAAAUAGUUUUGUGCAGUUCUAUUUUUAGUACCUGCAAACCAUACUCAUUGGAAAAAGCAAGGCAGGAAGCUUCUAGACUGAGGAUGGCAGAGUAAGGAUAGCCCUGCUCAACGCUCCUCUCUGAAGACAGUGAGAAAAUAAAGGGAAAAGAACGCCGUGUUCUGAUAUGUAGGAAUGAUCUUCAAACCAAACCACAACCCUGCCUCGUGGUGAGCGUGAGUAGUAGGGGGUGAGGAAGGCCCUAGAAUAAGCCACCCUCGGGCAGCACUGUGGCAUGCUGGCCAUACUUUGUUUGAGGUUCCUGAAGAUGUACAUCUUGCUUGUGGUUGGCUGGACAGUCUGGUCUUCUCCUCUGACAUUUCAUCUAACACUAAAAUGUCUGGGGUAAAGGGGGCCUGGCAACGUGUGACCCCACCUGUGCCCCCUUGACUGGUGGUCUCAGAAUGAGACUUUCACACAUGAAAUCCUUCCUUAUUGUAAUAACAAGUGGGAGGAGGAAGAGAGAUGAGGGGCUAUUCCCUUUUACUGAAAGCGGAAGUGCUUAGCAUCUCAAGACAUUUUGUUUUUCUUUCAGAGACAGGGUCUUGCUCUGUCACCCAGGCUGGAGUGCGCUGGCACGAUCAUAGCUCACUGAGCCUCAAACUACUGGACCCAAGUGAUUCUCCUGCUUCAGAUUCCCAUGUAGGUAGGACUACAGGCAUAUACCACCACGCCUGGCUAAUUUUUUAAAUUUAAUCUUUUUUUUUUUUUUUUGAGAGAUGAGGGGUCUCACUAUGUUGAUGAGGCUGGUCUCGAACUCCUGGCCUCAGAUGAUCCUCCUGUCAAGGCAUGUCUUAACUGCACAGACCCAAAUCAGCGGCUGAGAAUCAGAAGGGAGUGGAACCUGAAGGGACUGGUCUCCUUUAUUCCAACCUCUCUCCUCGCCUCCUGGCCAACUCCUUACUAGGUGCCAAGGCUGGCUGUUGGCUGAGAAACCACACAGCCCCUCUAUAUUUGAAUUUCUGGAACAGCAUUCUUAGAUGACUUCAGUGACCCAGGUAUACUACCACUAAAGAAACAUUCAUAUUUAUUUCUCUAAAUAGAAAAUAUUCAUUCAUUAGGGUUCAAAUCUCUACGUAUAGCCCCAAGAAAUUGAUCUUCAGAUUAGUAUCCUAGAUGUGAACCUGUGGUUUCUUCUGUCAAUGUUUAUUGUCACAACUGAUUUACUGAAAGAUUUUAUUUGUAAUUCCUUGUACUCCAGGGUUCAGAUGCUCUUCUACAGGUGACAUUUGAACAACACAGGCUCAAACUGUACAGGUCCACUCACACUCAGGGUUUCUUCAGCCUCUUUAUCCUUGAGGCAGCAAGACCAACCCCUCCCUCCUUCUCAGGCUACUCAGUGUGAAGAUGACAAGGAUGAAGCCCUUUAUGAUGAACCACUUCCACUUAAUGAAUAGUAAAUACACUUUCUCUUAUGACUUUUUUUUUUUAAUUGAGAUGAAGUCUUGCUCUGUCACCCAGGCUGGAAUGCAGUGGUGCAAUCUUAGCUCAUGUCAACCUCUGCCUCCUAAGUUCAAGCAAUCCUCUCGCCUUAGCCUCCUGAGUCGCUGAGACUACAGGCACCCACCACCAUGUCCAGCUAAUUUUUGUAUUUUUAGUAGAGACAGGGUUUCACCAUAUUGGCCAGGCUGGUCUUGAACUCCUGACCUCAAGUGAUCUGCCCGCCUUGGCCUCCCAAAGUUCUGAGAUUACAGGUGUAAGCCACUGCACCUGGCCUCUUAGGAUUUUCUUAAUAACGUUCUAUUAUCUCUAACUUACGUUGUUGUAAGAAGACAGUAUAUAAUACAUAUAACUGACAAAA
Molecule: long non-coding RNA, 11838 nt
Organism: Homo sapiens (human)
Lineage: Eukaryota; Metazoa; Chordata; Mammalia; Primates; Hominidae
Exons: 4
Source: RefSeq, a predicted model, not a curated record